UACGUAGGGGGCGAGCGUUUGUCCGGAAUCAUUGGGCGUAAAGAGCGUGUAGGUGGCUUGGAAAGUCUUACGUGAAAGCCUGCGGCUCAACCGCAGAAGUGCGUAGGAAACUACCUCGCUAGAGUCCGGAAGAGGAGAGCGGAAUUCCUGGUGUAGCGGUGGAAUGCGUAGAUAUCAGGAGGAACACCGGUGGCGAAGGCGGUCAUCUGGCCCGGUACUGACGCUCAGGCACGAAAGUGUGGGUAGCAAACAGG
This 254-nucleotide ribosomal RNA is filed under the name uncultured bacterium. RNAcentral's name for it is "partial 16S ribosomal RNA". It matches the Rfam family "Bacterial small subunit ribosomal RNA", at positions 524 to 776 of the family's 1533-position model. The record is from RNAcentral.